ACGAAUUUAUAACUCUGAAUCUGUAUGUAGCAGAGGAGUAUGUAAUUUCAGUUUUUGAAGAACCCUGAUUCCAUCCAUUAUCGAUCUCAAGGCAUAAAAGCGCACGAUGCCAUGUGUACGUUGCUAUAAGAAGAAUUUGUGGCCUCGAAGACCUUUACUGUCUCGAAUACCCUCUCCGGCAAUCGCAACAAUGUAUGGAUCACGUAGUACUCUGACAAUCAGUCUCUCUUGAGUGAUUUUCAUCCUCAUUAUUGUUUACGUCGGUACAAACCGUUCUGACCGCAUAACUGUCCUUUGCCACUACUGUUACCAUAAGUACUAAUACAAAUAAAUGUUAAUGAACAACCGAGGCUGUGUUCAUGACUCGCCGGACACCUUGAGCGUGCUUUAAGCGUGACAAAACGUCGAGAAAUCUACAUCCUGUCAGAAUCGUGCAGAACGCAUCGUAUCGUGGUGACGACACACUAACAACGUUGCAGCCGAAAUAAUUAAGGUGAUAUUUUUGCCGAAUGGCUUCUUCGUCAUUCUACUUCUAAAUUAUACUAACCUGUACUUCUUCGAUGCGAUGGCGAAGUGGUCGUCUGAUGAAAGUUGGCAUCCCUCAAAGGACUUUGGUUGAUUGCGGAGUCCGAGUUUGUUCUCCGCCAAUUGGAAUCGUGCGGAAGAGGCAGAAACCCUCGGCUGAUUUCAAUACGCCAAUAACAACGACACGAUCGACAUAUAUUUAUUCCAUAUUUAUUUCCCUAUGAAAAUAUCCUGCAGGUAGAAUACAAGACAGUCAUGGUACUAUAUACCACAGACAUUCAAAAACCUAGAGAGUAGUCUAACUUAUUGUUGUUGUUGUUGACAUCGUUGGUUGGAUAUUGUCAUGACCCAAUGAAAGGUCGUUAAUUAGGAAAACAGCUUGUACAAAAGGACGCUGCUAGCAAAGGACGCACUUCUAAUGCGCUCAGUUGUCCAAGUAUUCCACUCAUGUGUAGGGCCCGGCUUAGUUCGUAACGUCCCGCUUUGUGCGUAAUUUCCGUCCAUUCGACAUGCAACUUGCACAGCCGAAGUACCUUUACCGACCCCAUUGUUUCCCUUAUAUGGCGUUCUCGUACACAGUGAGUUCAUUCAUUGGCGGAUGCCGCUUCAAGCGCACGCGCCGUCCUUAUACAUAUGUGGGAGGACCCAGGAUGUUAUACUGUGCUAUGUUUUUUUUCUAUUCUAUUAUAUUCUAUAUUCUAAUUUUAUUUGGACCAUUGUACGUCGGACCAGUAGAGCUAUGACUCAAACACGUGUUGCUGAAGCUGUGCGGGAGCUGUGCGCUGAAGGGUGAAUUCGAAAUGUGCGAACAUGUUGAAAAGUAAUAAUGCAAUAGAACAAAAAAAAACGCUAAAUAAAGUCAAGGAAACUAAUUCAUUAAAAAAAUAGAAUACCGUGGACGGAAAUCAGCGAAACGGCACGUAAGGAUGGACGAAUGCCAAGGGGAAAGAGGGGUUAGAGUUGAAGUUAGGUCAGCUACUACAGACUUACCCGUUGG
Varroa destructor (honeybee mite) is the source of this 1522-nucleotide long non-coding RNA. RefSeq lists it as uncharacterized. The record is from RefSeq and is a predicted model, not a curated record. NCBI's taxonomy places the organism in Eukaryota, Metazoa, Arthropoda, Arachnida, Mesostigmata, Varroidae.